Molecule: antisense RNA, 75 nt
Filed under: Streptomyces sp. DI166
Lineage: Bacteria; Bacillati; Actinomycetota; Actinomycetes; Kitasatosporales; Streptomycetaceae
Description: ASpks TB sRNA
Rfam family: ASpks TB sRNA
Source: Rfam by way of RNAcentral
CUUCACCGACCCCAGCCACAACGGCCGUUCGCCGGGCCGGUCCUGCCCGUACGUGGCGAGGAGCGCCUGGGCCUC